UAGAAAUAAACGUGAACGUGCAUGAAAAUAAAUUCAAACGUGGGAGAGGAAGCAGUUUUGUGGAAGGAGAUGUAAAUAAAGCACAAAAUAAAAAAACCUAAAAGAACAAAUUGAAAUUGUUUUGCUGGAGCCCGGAGGAGAAGAUGAAAUUGGCGAAAAACCAACAAGAAUCGGUGUUGUGUGGAAGGAGGAUGAGCAUAAGUUGUUCUUGGUGGAUUAACUUCAUACUUAAUCAUUUGAUCAUAUGAAAACAUGGUAUCUUCACAAGUCAUAACAUGACCAGAAGGAUAAAGAUUUGAAUGGAAGUAAAGGCAUAGAUAAAUAUUGGAACGUGGAGAAGGAUAAGGAUAAGAAGAGUCGGUUCACUUUUCUCCCAGGACGCUUCACUCUUUCCUCCCAUGUACCUCUCUCUUCAUCAUUUUCAGAAUGUAAAACCGUUUCUGCGACUCUAGAAAUCAAGAGGAGGAAGAAGACAACAUGCACUUUAGGGGGGAAAAACCGUCGCUACUCCAGAGAAAGAUUAAUCCGAUAACGAUUCCAUGCAUUAGAGAGUUGCUUGGGUCGUUUCAGUUACACAUGGCCAGAAAAAGAAAGCAAAUGAGGAAGAGAUGGACUUCCCUUUCAGAAAAUAUUUGAAUUGGUGGGUACAUUUAAAUAAUUUUGCAAGCCGCAUGCCACAAUGGAUAAGAUGCGAUCAGUUAUCCACCCAACUACUUUUGAGAAGAAUGUUUCAGCCAAGAGAAGAGUUUCCAUCUUCUUCGACAACACAACCAAUGCAGACGUGAGUCGUAAGAUGCCGUACGAAGACAUGAUUUUUCUCCUUACUCUAUGUAUUCCUUUGUUUGUUAAGUAAACAUACAAACAUCACAGCCAAAAACAUUCUUAAUCUUCAAUUAAUAUCACAAUCCCCAUUUUGCCCAAAGCACUUAUGGCUUAGGUAAUUAUUUUUGUCCUCUAUUCAAUAUCUGUUCUUACAUGAUUAUUAUAAUUUUGUGUAUUUUGGGUUGUGAAUGUUC
This 1016-nucleotide small RNA is filed under the name Malus domestica (apple). RNAcentral's name for it is "sRNA MD03G0062600". The record is from RNAcentral. Lineage: Eukaryota; Viridiplantae; Streptophyta; Magnoliopsida; Rosales; Rosaceae.